This 238-nucleotide long non-coding RNA is filed under the name Parus major (Great Tit). Its description in RNAcentral is "lncRNA (ENSPMJG00000004437.1)". The record is from RNAcentral. Lineage: Eukaryota; Metazoa; Chordata; Aves; Passeriformes; Paridae.
GGAAGGUUGGGAAGGUUUGGGAAGGUUGGGAAGGUUGGGAAGGUUUGGGAAGGUUGGGAAGGUUGGGAAGGUUCAGGAAGGUUUGGAAGGUUCAGGAAGGUUGGCAAGGUUGAGAAGGUUCAGGAAGGUUCCAGAAGGUUCGGGAACAUUCAGGAAGGUUCCGGAAGGUUCAGGAAGGUUCCGGAACGUUCGGGAAGGCUCGGGAAGGUUCAGGAAGGUUCUGGAAGGUUCAGGAAGG